GUAGGGAAUCUUCCGCAAUGGACGAAAGUCUGACGGAGCAACGCCGCGUGAGCGAUGAAGGCCUUCGGGUCGUAAAGCUCUGUUGUUAGGGAAGAACAAGUGCUAGUUGAAUAAGCUGGCACCUUGACGGUACCUAACCAGAAAGCCACGGCUAACUACGUGCCAGCAGCCGCGGUA
This 177-nucleotide ribosomal RNA is filed under the name Bacillus sp. D03. RNAcentral's name for it is "partial 16S ribosomal RNA". It matches the Rfam family "Bacterial small subunit ribosomal RNA", at positions 354 to 522 of the family's 1533-position model. Lineage: Bacteria; Bacillati; Bacillota; Bacilli; Caryophanales; Bacillaceae. The record is from RNAcentral.